RNAcentral lists this ribosomal RNA (421 nucleotides) under uncultured bacterium. RNAcentral describes it as "bacterial SSU rRNA". It matches the Rfam family "Bacterial small subunit ribosomal RNA", at positions 355 to 774 of the family's 1533-position model. The record is from RNAcentral.
UAAGGAAUAUUGGUCAAUGGACGCAAGUCUGAACCAGCCAUGCCGCGUGAAGGAUGAAGGUCCUCUGGAUUGUAAACUUCUUUUAUCUGGGACGAAAACGGGAUUUUUAUCUCAAUUGACGGUACCAGAGGAAUAAGCACCGGCUAACUCCGUGCCAGCAGCCGCGGUAAUACGGAGGGUGCAAGCGUUAUCCGGAUUUACUGGGUUUAAAGGGUGCGUAGGCGGAUGAAUAAGUCAGUGGUGAAAUCUCCGAGCUUAACUCGGAAACUGCCGUUGAUACUAUUUGUCUUGAAUAUUGUGGAGGUAAGCGGAAUAUGUCAUGUAGCGGUGAAAUGCUUAGAUAUGACAUAGAACACCAAUUGCGAAGGCAGCUUGCUACACAAUCAUUGACGCUGAGGCACGAAAGCGUGGGGAUCAAACA